RNAcentral lists this ribosomal RNA (433 nucleotides) under uncultured bacterium. Its description in RNAcentral is "partial 16S ribosomal RNA". It matches the Rfam family "Bacterial small subunit ribosomal RNA", at positions 29 to 508 of the family's 1533-position model. The record is from RNAcentral.
AACGAACGCUGGCGGCAGGCUUAACACAUGCAAGUCGAGCGCAUCCUUCGGGGUGAGCGGCGGACGGGUGAGUAACGCGUGGGAACGUGCCCUCUUCUACGGAAUAGCCUCGGGAAACUGAGAGUAAUGCCGUAUACGCCCGCAAGGGGAAAGAUUUAUCGGAGGAGGAUCGGCCCGCGUUGGAUUAGGUAGUUGGUGGGGUAACGGCCUACCAAGCCGACGAUCCAUAGCUGGUUUGAGAGGAUGAUCAGCCACACUGGGACUGAGACACGGCCCAGACCCAAAGGGGAGGAGGAGGGGGGAAUCUUGGAAAAAGGGGGCAAACCUGAACCAAGCCUGCCGGCGUGAUGGUUAAGGCCCUUGGGGUUGAAAAGUUUUUUCGGCUGGAAAGAAAAGGAGGGUCCAGGAAAAAGAGGCCCCGGCAAACCCCGGC